CCAUCUUGAGAGCGGGAAGGAGGCCGAGACGCCACACGGAGCCGCCAUCUUGAUUGGGGGCAGGGCAUGGGGGAGAAUGCGUUGGGCGCCAUCUUGAGUACGGGCAGCUCCUGUGUUGCGGCCGGGGGAGCGGCGCCAACGCCGCCAUGUUGGCCGCGGGCAGGACGCGGCGCGCUGGCGGCGGUUGCCAUCUCGGGUGAGGGAGCGCGGCCGCCUCGCAGCAGUGAGGUGAAUGAUUGAGCACUGCCCGUCUGGUGCUCAGCAGCACUUAACAGUUUCACUUGACAUACAAGGUAAAGUGGUUUAAUUGCAGUUCAUGUCUUAAGGAUAAAGAUUACCCGGUGGGGAGACAGCCCAUAAGGUGCUCCAGGAUACUUGUCCUCCUGCCAACUGCUGUGCUCCAUGGGACACUUCCCAAAGUGUGAACUUGAAGGAGGAGCCCUUUACCAUCACAUCCUGAGCAAACCUUCACAAGCACUCGAGAUGUAAAGCUGAGAGCUCUUUGCCUCUUGCUGGUGAGCCUGAUUUUCACCUCCCUCCCCCCCACACCCCCAAAGGCU
Molecule: long non-coding RNA, 560 nt
Organism: Pezoporus flaviventris
Lineage: Eukaryota; Metazoa; Chordata; Aves; Psittaciformes; Psittacidae
Exons: 3
Source: RefSeq, a predicted model, not a curated record